UUCUUUCCUUGUAAGUCACCAAAAUUUCUACUUCGCUUGAGACUGAGACAGAGACAGAAAAUGGCGAGGGGAAGCGAGAGUGUGGGUGAGGGCGUACCGAAAGAGAUGAGCGAUCCACUGAGGCGCACGGUAGCCAGCCUGGAGAAUCUGGAAGCAGAGCUGCCGAAUAUUCUCUCUCUCUCAAACCCUUUCAUCCUCUCUAAAAUGCCUCCUCUUCAACGCGCUCACUCCCUCUUAACUCUUGCCAACAUCACUUCCACCCUUUUCUCAUUGAAGUUGAGAUGCAAAGGGACUAAUCCAGAUUAUCAUCCCCUCAAAUCUGAACUUGACAGGUUAAAAGUUUACCAACGCAAACUGGAACCCUUUGCGGAUGUAGGUCAAGCUCUACCACUUCCUUCUUCUUUCUUGGAUGAUCAGGCUUCUGUUGACCACUCCUUACGUGACCUCACUUCAGUACAAAGAAAAGAAAUGGCUAACAUGAGCAUUGGGGAGGUACCAAUGAUGAGCAACUAUCAGGAGCAGGCUGGUCAGAAGAGAAAGCAUCCAUCUUCUGAAGAACACCCUGUUCAAGUUUAUGCUGAGGUGCACGUGAAGAAAGAACCACUUGAGGUUUUUGGUCAUAACAAGGGAAAAACUGAGGAACCAAUAGUAAUUGACAUUUCAGAUGAUGACGAGUGAUGAUCAUUUUGAGCUGUUUGUGCAGUUGUGCCGCCCUUAUUUUUCAGAAUCUGGAUCUGGGGUUGUCAUUGUCAACAUAUAAUUCAUGGGGUGCUAUGUGUAAUUUCACCUAAAAUUCAAGGGAGUAUAACUGAAUAAAAUGGAGCUGCCUUGAAGAGAGAGAAUUUCGUGUCAUCCUUGCUGCUUUGCCAUACUUUUUCAUCAUCAAAGUUUAUAAUACACCAAUUUCUAUAAUUGGUCACAAAUAAUCUUGGAAAGAAACUUAGAUUUUGAAAUUAAGAUUAAAAUAAAAAAAAGAAGAGAAUUACCAAGACGGUCUCUGACUUGAAACCUAGCCCUCUCAGCCCAUUUGUUGAGGGGAAUCAGAGGGUGAAGAUGGAACCUUCCAUGCAUCAACCUUGCCUCCAACCAACAUAUCCUUAGCAGCAUAAGAUAUUCCAAACACAACAAAAAGGACCAAAAUACAAGUAGCUGAGGAAGCUCUCAAACAACAAAAUAUAACACAAAUAUGCCGAGGAUUUUUACUGAUUAUUGAUGUGAUAUAAUGGUACACAACUAACUGGUUUUAGCAGUGUGCUGAGGUUAUUUAUAUAGUGGGGGGUUUGGGUGAUGAGAUAUUGAGAUGAACUUAGAACUUAGAAGUAGCCGUUAAAAGGGUACAUUGGGAAUGGUACAUGGUGUGGGGACUACAGAGUUAUGUUUCUCUUGUUACUUGUUUGGCCUCAAAAAUACCCAAAAAGAAAUUGUUAUUCA
Arachis ipaensis is the source of this 1431-nucleotide non-coding RNA. NCBI's taxonomy places the organism in Eukaryota, Viridiplantae, Streptophyta, Magnoliopsida, Fabales, Fabaceae. The record is from RefSeq and is a predicted model, not a curated record.